RNAcentral lists this ribosomal RNA (431 nucleotides) under uncultured bacterium. Its description in RNAcentral is "bacterial SSU rRNA". It matches the Rfam family "Bacterial small subunit ribosomal RNA", at positions 30 to 506 of the family's 1533-position model. The record is from RNAcentral.
UUGAACGCUGGCGGCAUGCCUUACACAUGCAAGUCGAACGAAGCCUUCGGGCUUAGUGGCGCACGGGUGCGUAACGCGUGGGAAUCUGCCCUUUGGUUCGGAAUAACAGUUAGAAAUGACUGCUAAUACCGGAUGAUGACUUCGGUCCAAAGAUUUAUCGCCAAGGGAUGAGCCCGCGUAGGAUUAGGUAGUUGGUGGGGUAAAGGCCUACCAAGCCGACGAUCCUUAGCUGGUCUGAGAGGAUGAUCAGCCACACUGCGACUGGGACACGGCCCAGACUCCUACGGGAGGCAGCAGUGGGGAAUAUUGGACAAUGGGCGAAAGCCUGAUCCAGCAAUGCCGCGUGAGUGAUGAAGGCCUUAGGGUCGUAAAGCUCUUUUACCAGGGAUGAUAAUGACAGUACCUGGAGAAUAAGCUCCGGCUAACUCCGU